GAUGAACGCUGGCGGCAGGCUUAAUACAUGCAAGUUGAACGGUAACAUGUUGUAGCAAUACGAUGAUGACGAGUGGCGCACGGGUGCGUAACACGUGUGUAACCUACCUUAUACAGGAACAUAACGUUGAGAAAUCGGCGCUAACAUUCCAUAAUAUUAUUUGUAGGCAUCUAUGAAUAAUUAAAACUCCGGUGGUAUAAGAUGGGCACGCGUUCCAUUAGCUAGUUGGUAAGGUAACGGCUUACCAAGGCAACGAUGGAUAGGGGUUCUGAGAGGAUAAUCCCCCACACUGGAACCGAGACACGGUCCAGACUCCUACGGGAGGCAGCAGUCGAGAAUAGUCUACAAUGGUCGGAAGACUGAUAGUGCGACGCCGCGUGAACGAUGAAUCCCUUCGGGGUGUAAAGUUCUUUUAUAUGUGAGCAGUGCUUCUUAUAUUAACAGUAUGGGGAGAGAGAUAUUAGCAUAUGAAUAAGCAACGGCUAACU
This 488-nucleotide ribosomal RNA is filed under the name uncultured bacterium. RNAcentral describes it as "bacterial SSU rRNA". It matches the Rfam family "Bacterial small subunit ribosomal RNA", at positions 28 to 502 of the family's 1533-position model. The record is from RNAcentral.